GAACGGUAACAGGCCUUCGGGUGCUGACGAGUGGCGGACGGGUGAGUAAUGCGUAGGAAUCUGCCUAGUGAUGGGGGAUAACUUAGGGAAACUUAAGCUAAUACCGCAUACGCCCUACGGGGGAAAGCGGGGGAUCGUAAGACCUCGCGUCAUUAGAUGAGCCUACGUCAGAUUAGCUAGUUGGUGGGGUAAAGGCCUACCAAGGCGACGAUCUGUAACUGGUCUGAGAGGAUGAUCAGUCACACUGGAACUGAGACACGGUCCAGACUCCUACGGGAGGCAGCAGUGGGGAAUAUUGGACAAUGGGCGCAAGCCUGAUCCAGCAAUACCGCGUGUGUGAAGAAGGCCUUAGGGUUGUAAAGCACUUUCAAUUGGAAGGAAUACCUCAGAGCUAAUACCUUUGAGAUUGACAUUACCUUUAGAAGAAGCACCGGCUAACUCCGUGCCAGCAGCCGCGGUAAUACGGAGGGUGCGAGCGUUAAUCGGAAUUACUGGGCGUAAAGCGUGCGUAGGCGGUUGUUUAAGUCAGAUGUGAAAGCCCCGGGCUCAACCUGGGAACGGCAUUUGAUACUGAGCAACUGGAGUUUGGGAGAGGCAAGUGGAAUUUCAGGUGUAGCGGUGAAAUGCGUAGAUAUCUGAAGGAACACCAGUGGCGAAGGCGACUUGCUGGCCUAAAACUGACGCUGAGGCACGAAAGCAUGGGUAGCAAACAGGAUUAGCUACCC
This 725-nucleotide ribosomal RNA is filed under the name uncultured bacterium. RNAcentral's name for it is "bacterial SSU rRNA". It matches the Rfam family "Bacterial small subunit ribosomal RNA", at positions 64 to 787 of the family's 1533-position model. The record is from RNAcentral.